RNAcentral lists this non-coding RNA (27 nucleotides) under Homo sapiens (human). The record is from RNAcentral. Lineage: Eukaryota; Metazoa; Chordata; Mammalia; Primates; Hominidae.
UCAACUGGGCAAAUUCCUAGGAACUGC